RNAcentral lists this ribosomal RNA (301 nucleotides) under uncultured bacterium. Its description in RNAcentral is "partial 16S ribosomal RNA". It matches the Rfam family "Bacterial small subunit ribosomal RNA", at positions 509 to 807 of the family's 1533-position model. The record is from RNAcentral.
CAGCCGCCGCGGUAAUACGUAGGGUGCAAGCGUUAAUCGGAAUUACUGGGCGUAAAGCGUGCGCAGGCGGUUAUAUAAGACAGAUGUGAAAUCCCCGGGCUCAACCUGGGAACUGCAUUUGUGACUGUAUAGCUAGAGUACGGCAGAGGGGGAUGGAAUUCCGCGUGUAGCAGUGAAAUGCGUAGAUAUGCGGAGGAACACCGAUGGCGAAGGCAAUCCCCUGGGCCUGUACUGACGCUCAUGCACGAAAGCGUGUGGAGCAAACAGGAUUAGAGACCCCCGUAGUCCCUGUCUCUUAUAC